UGAGUAACGCGUAUGCAACCUACCUUUUACAGGGGAAUAGCCCGGAGAAAUUCGGAUUAAUGCUCCAUGGUUUAUAUGAAUGGCAUCAUUUAUAUAAUAAAGAUUUAUCGGUAAAAGAUGGGCAUGCGUAUCAUUAGCUAGUUGGUGUGGUAACGGCAUACCAAGGCGACGAUGAUUAGGGGUCCUGAGAGGGAGAUCCCCCACACUGGUACUGAGACACGGACCAGACUCCUACGGGAGGCAGCAGUGAGGAAUAUUGGUCAAUGGAGGCAACUCUGAACCAGCCAUGCCGCGUGCAGGAUGACGGUCCUAUGGAUUGUAAACUGCUUUUGUACGGGAAGAAAUGUAAUUACGUGUAAUUAUUUGACGGUACCGUAAGAAUAAGGAUCGGCUAACUCCGUGCCAGCAGCCGCGGUAAUACGGAGGAUCCGAGCGUUAUCCG
This 442-nucleotide ribosomal RNA is filed under the name Myroides sp. Its description in RNAcentral is "bacterial SSU rRNA". It matches the Rfam family "Bacterial small subunit ribosomal RNA", at positions 107 to 547 of the family's 1533-position model. Lineage: Bacteria; Pseudomonadati; Bacteroidota; Flavobacteriia; Flavobacteriales; Flavobacteriaceae. The record is from RNAcentral.